UGUCCCUGGGCAGGCAGUGCCUCUAAUACUAGAAAUGCUAGAGGUGAUGUUAUUGGUAAACAGGCAGGGUCUGUGUUUGGUAGAUCACACGUCUGCACUC
This is a long non-coding RNA of Lynx canadensis (Canada lynx), 100 nucleotides long. RefSeq lists it as uncharacterized. The record is from RefSeq and is a predicted model, not a curated record. NCBI's taxonomy places the organism in Eukaryota, Metazoa, Chordata, Mammalia, Carnivora, Felidae. The transcript is spliced from 3 exons.